GGUCGCUGAACCCUCUGAUCUCCAUCACCAUGUCCACACAGUCAGGAGGGAUCUGAUUGGCUGCUGCAGGUCGUGUGGUUAUCCAGAGGCGAGCAGAAGGAAGCAGAUUCCCCCUGAUCAGCACAUUCAGCUCUCUGAAAGUCAAUGGAAACAUGAAGUGGAUGUCCUGGUUGCUUUUGUCUUCAGCCCAGUCCAGAGUCAACUUCUGUGUUAACACUGUUUUCCCGAUGCCAGCCACUCCCUGUGUCAUCACUGUUCUGAUUGGUCCAUCUCGUCCAGAUCGUCUGAAAUGAAGGGGAUGCUCCUUUGACCAGUCACUCUUCAUGGACACACAGCUGGAUCCAGGUAGGUCCAGGUCCAGGUCCAAGCCCAGAUCCAGGUCCAAGCCCAGGUCCAAGUCCAACAGAGUGUGUGUUUUGCUGCUCAGGGAUUCAACACACAGAGCUGUGAAUGUGAAUAAUGACAGCAGUGAUGUGAUGCGGAGCUCUGACAGUUAGAGAUGCUCAUCUCACCUCUGAGCUUUGCUCUGGUUCUCCUGUUCCCCACACAGAGAUCUUCCCUCCUCU
Molecule: long non-coding RNA, 566 nt
Organism: Amphiprion ocellaris (clown anemonefish)
Lineage: Eukaryota; Metazoa; Chordata; Actinopteri; Pomacentridae
Source: Ensembl